UCAAAAUGGAAAGCUUAGCGUACCAACUGAAAGCUUCAUCUCUCCUACUCUUCACUAUUACACCUGCUCUCUCGCGAAGUGUUAUAUGUUUCUUUCAUGGAGGGUUAUAUCGAAGACAAGGAUCAAUUUUUGAUUCAGCCACCUUAAGUUACUAAGGUAGCUGACUGCUAUAUCCGAGGCCCAUCUUUGACAGCCAUUGAUCAUGUUCAGGUUCGAGAGUCUGACCCAGUUGCUCGGAACAGCUGCUGCCUUUUUCUUCUGCAACAUCCAGCGACCCCCUCGCCCCACUCACCAGUGCAUCGCUUAGAUGCCCUUCUCUUGUCGAGAUUACUCUUCAGAUUAAAGAAGGAGAUGCCCAUUCUUGUCAAGAUUGAUCUUCAGAUGAAUCAAAAAAUUGCCCAACUUUCUUUUGUCCCCUCCGAAGAAAAGAUCACUACCUUUCACCAUUAGCCCAGCAGGAGAGGAAUAUUGGCAAAUAAUUUUACCUUGCUUUCUUGUUCCUUUAUUGAUGUAAAUUUUAAUUUCUCUCUCUUUUUUUCCCUUCUCAAAGAUGCACAUGUAUGACCCUUGAUCCUCUCACACUGCAAGAUAAUAAGCUCAGUGAUGCCAAAAUAAACAUUCGCAUAUGGACGUGCUGUGGGUAAUGGACAGCAGCUCUAAUCCCUAUACUUCUUUCCAAAGAAGUUCGGGAAAUUUAUUAUCAUGCCAAUAUGCAUCUUUCUUUUUCGAUGGAAGGAUCUGCUCAUGAUCAUCAGAGUUGCCAAUAUGCAUUCAGUAGUCUGCACUAACAAAUGAGAAUCUGGAGACAAUCAUGGAGACUGCUAUUGUACAAGAAAACAUUAGAAGUUCAAACGAAGAACAAAUACAACCGAGAGCUGUCAUACAAUGUACUGAAGACGAGCACAAGUUGUCAUACAGCUGAAUAAGAAAAAUUUUACAGCAUAUAUGUUAAUCGAUUCUCAAUUUAUGACAAGUAAUAUGGCAGUCAAAUGGAUGAGGGUUACUUUUUUUUAACUCUACUUUAGUGAUUUGACCAGUGCUUUGGUCUUUAUGGUGACCAGUAUUAUCUUGUUUUUUGGGUAACAGAGUUUUAUCUUCAACAAGUUCUUUACCAUUCUGGAAAAUCCUUCCUCAAAGUUUCACACUGCAGCAGUAGCAUCAUCAAGCGUAUCUCCAAUCCCAUCAUGUUUCCCUUUGCUCUACUUGCCGCAUGGAGGAACUUCUUGUUGAGACCUGUGUCCUACAACAAGCUUUCAAUGGCCUCGGAUACAGGCUUAUCAUAGCGUAGAAUUGCUCAUUAAACUAAACUUCACGUACCGGACUAGGAGCUGAAGAUUCAUUCUCUCUCUCUCUAAAUCCUUCUGACCACUCUCGAUGUUCCAUGUUUUCUUUACUGAGUCGCAAUCAGUUCUGAAUCAGGUGAUGUUGCAGCAACUGAGAAAAGACCACUUGAAACACUUGGCACAUCCACCUGACACUGCUCCAUCACAACGAACCAAUAUCGAUCAGUUGUUCCACGGCCUUUAUGAGGAAGAUCCAAUCAGUUUGGUAACUGAAUAAAUGGUAACAAAGGGAUUCUUGAACACCUGCUGUUGGAGACAUCCGAAACCAAACAAUUCCAUUAAAUGCAGGUAGUAUAAAAUCUUUACAGCCUUGAGCCAAUGUUCUGGUUUCAAACAUUUGGUUAGUCUUUUCUGAGAACUUCAUUGUUAAAAUUAUGCAAGAGCCUUUUAUUGAACAUAACUGGAGCAGUAACAAUGAUGAUACUUAGCUGAAUAAGAAAGUAAAGAUGAUGUUCCCCUGCUUACCAAUAAUAAAUAGGAUUAAUUUUUAAAAGAUUUCUAAAAAUCAAUACAAGCGAGACUGUGUAAAUACUAUAAAGAUACAUGAAAGAGAUUAGAUGUACACAUUAGAAGAACCACCUACUUAUAGGCACCAUGCAGUGAACAAGCAAGCAUUCUACGCAGACUGACUGCACUCCAUGCAUCAAGUGGGACCAAGGCAGCAGGUGAAUCUUGUAUUUCUUUAUGUUAUAUAAAAAAAAGAUCAAUCAACAACAAUAAUGGCUAAAACUAUAGUUUUAGUGCGAAAUUGCAAAAAAAGGAUAGGGUAUGCUGCUCUUUGGGCUCCUUAAAACAAAACAAAUAAUUUAUUGAUGUUGCAACCUCAUUCUCACCAUAAUAUAAUCUCACCCAAAAAGAGUUCUUAAAAAACAAGGUAAAUAUAAAAGAACGACACAUUUACGAUCAUGCUUAUGUGGUACUGGAUAAAUAGACAAAAAGACCUUACCAAGCUUGCCCUGAUAAAGGCAGACAUAACAAGUCCUUUGAUCUCGAAGCAAUCCUCGCUCCAAUGGGUUUUCAUCUUGAUCAUAACCUGUGUUCAGUCACCUACUCUCUUUUUUUUUUUUUUAACCUUAGAUUGCCUUGGCAAUUUGCCUAUCAGAACUAUCUCCAUCAGAUGGUUGUCUAUCGCUGACCCAGGAUGUCAUCAUAAGCAUGAAAAGCCAAUUCAGACACCCUCAAUGCCAAAGAUAAACCUCAGUAUAUUGUUCUGAUAGUCACUAAAAUUCUGGUUAUGAUAGAAGGGUGGAAAGAAAACUCCUUGCGUUGCUCAAAUCACCCUUAUCAGUUUCAGUUCAGGUUGCUAUACCCAUUUACCUCCAUUGCAGUUGUGUCUCAACACUCCAAAACACUAAAAACAGUAAAAUGUGUGAGAAGAUUCUUCCAGUUGCAGGCUUUGAAAACUAAACCUUAUUUCCUAAGACACCUUAUUUACUACCUUAUCAAUUAAGCUAGGGAAGGUGAACAAUUAGAAGACUCCUGAUAAUUAAAAACACUAUAUCCUAAGCAAUCAUGUGGCAAUGGUAAUCUUUGACAAUGAAAAAAAUUGUUGUACCAAAUUAUUAUUAAUAUAUAUGGAACUUCUUUAGACUUUUCCCUUUUGUCAUAUGGAAAAAUAUGAUACUCUCCACCACCAUAAGAAUACUAAGAAAAUUAUUGGGAACUGGAGUAGAUAUCAAAAUGCAGCAGGAUUGGCCCAUUUGUCCUCAUACUCUUCAAGAACAUGAACAUGGACUGAUUAAUCUUGAGUGAACCUUUAAAGAAGAUCUGUAACCUCAAUCACUGAAACUUGAAGGUGACCUAAUUAAUCAGGACUGAGGACCCCAGGCCCCAGUUGUUACACUACCACUAAAUCUUUUGGUGUGAAUUUUCCAUUAAAUUCUCUAGAACAGUACACGAAGCCAUUGCGCAGUAGGCUAGAUGAAGUAGGGCAGCUCUUUAAAAAGAUUGCUUCAUGCGCAUCCAUUUUCAUGGUUACCUCAGAAGUAUAUGAAUCAUUUACAGUUCAAAUGCUCUGCACUACAUGAUAAUAUUACCCUAGGCACCAACUUUGCCAGAACCAGAGACUCUCAUCCUUUAGUUCACACUCACUAUGCUAAUGCUGUCCAUGUUUUCCAGAUUACUGGAUCGACCAUCCAUAUGAGUUAACAAUAUGAUCAAUGGUCCCACUAAUCACGAUUCGUGAAGUAUAAAGAGACACAGAUUCAGCAUCUAUGUCCUUUUAUAAGAUGAGAACCAUUCCUGGGCAAACCAAUUAAGUAAUGAGAAUCUGGAUCGUUGAUAACAUCAUAAAAGAAAACGUAACAUAUCCCCACCAGGCGAUCAGAGUAGCUUUGAAAGGUACGGAAAAACACAAAAUGCAGCAGAAUAGAGAUCCCUAUUUUUCAUUACUGGACUUCAUAUCGAAACAUAGGCUAUAUAAGGCUACACUCAUAUGGAUCUCCAAGCAUAUCCAAUCAAAUCUAUAUUGAAUAAUAAUUUACUAUAUCUAAAUUAUUUACACACUAAAAAUUAUGUAAUUUGGAGAUCCCUAAUCUAUGCAUCAAGUAAUUAAAAAUAUAUUUAUAGUUUUAUCUAGACUGUACAAUUUUUGAGCACUUUAUAUAAAAUUUCUUCAUAGAAGAAUAUAGUGUUCUUUUUGAACAAUAUUUGAUAUUUGUUAAUAUUUUACAAAUUAGUUUUAUUUUACUUGGUAAUGGUCAGUUCUGCCAAUUUACGGAAAUGCCUUUAAACAAUUGGAAUUGCACAACCAUCUAUUGAGUACAUGCUUGAAUGAAAAUAUUUGUUGAGAUCAAAAUCAUCCAUUGAAUACACAGUACCUCUAAAUCAGUCAUUUGCACUGCAUGAUGGGAUCACAAACAUUCAUUUGAUGCACUGUCAUGUUGAAUUGUAUGUGCCAAUCUAACUAAAACGUAUCAUUAUAAGAUUGCUGCUACCCAUCACACCUGCGAAAUAGCAAUGUAAGUUAUAUGCAAUCUAAAUAGAAUACAAAAACAAGAAAUAAAAAAGUUGGAAGCAUGCAGUGCUCGGAAAAAAUGCUCAUGCUUAGCAGCCGCCUGUCCGGGCAACUUUGUUGAUCCAGGAUGGCAAAACAAGUUUCAGUGCUUGGCUGGUGACAAAAAAAUUAAGACUUUGGUAAAAAGAAGAAAUGCCAUCAUGAAACUAAGAAAACACACAUUACAGAGAGACUUUGUGUUGAUAAAUGCAUCUACAUAAUAGAACAGAAGCAAAGCACAUAGGCUCGUGACAGCAUUACAUAUUAACAUCACGAGUGCUAGCACAUAUAAA
Molecule: non-coding RNA, 4631 nt
Organism: Phoenix dactylifera (date palm)
Lineage: Eukaryota; Viridiplantae; Streptophyta; Magnoliopsida; Arecales; Arecaceae
Source: RefSeq, a predicted model, not a curated record